CCUACGGGAGGCAGCAGUAGGGAAUAUUGCUCAAUGGGGGAAACCCUGAAGCAGCAACGCCGCGUGGAGGAUGAAGGUUUUCUGAUUGUAAACUCCUUUUGUUAGAGAAGAUAAUUACGGUAUCUAACGAAUAAUCCCCGUCUCACUCCGUUCCAGCAGCCGCGGUAAUACGGAGGGUGCAAGCGUUACUCGGAAUCACUGGGCGUAAAGAGCGCGUAGGCGGGAUAGCAAGUCAGAUGUGAAAUCCUAUGGCUUAACCAUAGAACUGCAGUUGAAACUGUCAGUCUAGAGUAUGGGAGAGGUAGGUGGAAUUCUUGGUGUAGCGGUAAAAUCCGUAGAGAUCAAGAGGAAUACUCAUUGCGAAGGCGACUUGCUAGAACGUAACUGACGCUGAGGCGCGAAAGCGUGGGGAGCAAACAGGAUUAGAUACCCCUGUAGUC
RNAcentral lists this ribosomal RNA (440 nucleotides) under uncultured bacterium. Its description in RNAcentral is "partial 16S ribosomal RNA". It matches the Rfam family "Bacterial small subunit ribosomal RNA", at positions 338 to 795 of the family's 1533-position model. The record is from RNAcentral.